GACAGCAGUCGCCGCGGUAAUACAGAGGGUGCGAGCGUUAAUCGGAUUUACUGGGCGUAAAGCGUGCGUAGGCGGCUUCUUAAGUCGGAUGUGAAAUCCCUGAGCUUAACUUAGGAAUUGCAUUCGAUACUGGGAAGCUAGAGUAUGGGAGAGGAUGGUAGAAUUCCAGGUGUAGCGGUGAAAUGCGUAGAGAUCUGGAGGAAUACCGAUGGCGAAGGCAGCCAUCUGGCCUAAUACUGACGCUGAGGUACGAAAGCAUGGGGAGCAAACAGGAUUAGAUACCCCUGUAGUCCCUGUCUCUUAUAC
This 306-nucleotide ribosomal RNA is filed under the name uncultured bacterium. RNAcentral describes it as "partial 16S ribosomal RNA". It matches the Rfam family "Bacterial small subunit ribosomal RNA", at positions 507 to 807 of the family's 1533-position model. The record is from RNAcentral.